This 468-nucleotide ribosomal RNA is filed under the name uncultured bacterium. Its description in RNAcentral is "partial 16S ribosomal RNA". It matches the Rfam family "Bacterial small subunit ribosomal RNA", at positions 28 to 507 of the family's 1533-position model. The record is from RNAcentral.
GACGAACGCUGGCGGCGUGCUUAACACAUGCAAGUCGAACGGAAAGGCCCUGCUUUUGUGGGGUGCUCGAGUGGCGAACGGGUGAGUAACACGUGAGUAACCUGCCCUUGACUUUGGGAUAACUUCAGGAAACUGGGGCUAAUACCGGAUAGGAGCUCCUGCUGCAUGGUGGGGGUUGGAAAGUUUCGGCGGUUGGGGAUGGACUCGCGGCUUAUCAGCUUGUUGGGGGGGUAGUGGCUUACCAAGGCUUUGACGGGUAGCCGGCCUGAGAGGGUGACCGGCCACAUUGGGACUGAGGUACGGCCCAGACUCCUACGGGAGGCAGCAGUGGGGAAUAUUGCACAGUGGGCGGAAGCCUGAUGCAGCAACGCCGCGUGCGGGAUGACGGCCUUCGGGUUGUAAACCGCUUUCGCCUGUGACGAAGCGUGAGUGACGGUAAUGGGUAAAGAAGCACCGGCUAACUACGUG